Molecule: microRNA precursor, 182 nt
Filed under: Oryza punctata
Lineage: Eukaryota; Viridiplantae; Streptophyta; Magnoliopsida; Poales; Poaceae
Description: MIR812 microRNA precursor family
Rfam family: MIR812 microRNA precursor family
Source: Rfam by way of RNAcentral
CCUGAGUGUGUACAAGUACUGGAGAUUGUGAAAAUUUUUUUAUGAUUAGUAUUUUGUUGUUAUUCGAUGAUAAAAUAUGAAUUGUACUUUAUGUGUAACUAAUUUUUUAAAUUUUUCCAUAAACUUUUCAAAUAAUAUGGAUGGUCAAAUGUUCGACACGGAAGCCUACAGCUGCACUUAAA